Molecule: small nucleolar RNA, 85 nt
Filed under: Cricetulus griseus (Chinese hamster)
Lineage: Eukaryota; Metazoa; Chordata; Mammalia; Rodentia; Cricetidae
Source: RNAcentral
GCAGCCUAUGAUGAAGCGAUCUCCCACUGGUGUUCGAGUUUCCCAACUAUGAGACAACUCUACAUGCACUACCAUCUGAGGCUGG